CUUAGAUAAGGACUGUAGGUCUGGCGAACACAACACAAGAUGUGAAGAAAAUGGCAGCCCUUUUCAGCAUCUGUAGAAACAAAGGUCUAGAGAUAGGAAACAAUCGACAGCAAGUCAAGUGAAUUGGAGAGCUUCGUCGAACGUUGAGGCUUUGAGGAGGCAAUCGUCAAGUGUCUGGAGAUCUAAGGAUCGGAGGGUUGCCCUUGAGUCCUUCAUUGGAUGAAGUACGUCGUUUGUGGUGGAAGCAAAGUUUUUCACUGUCAAAAGGAAGAUCUUCAAUGGUACUCUGGACCUCUCGAGGAAAGAAAGAGGAGGAGAGCCAUGACCCUCGGCGCAUGACCACUGCUGUGGCGGUCGAUCUUGCUGAAGUAUUGGCUACAUCGAGGGCCGCUUGAAGAGCGGUACGUGAUAUGAUUUGUCCCUCGGAAACCAGA
Molecule: long non-coding RNA, 434 nt
Organism: Trachemys scripta elegans
Lineage: Eukaryota; Metazoa; Chordata; Testudines; Emydidae
Exons: 3
Source: RefSeq, a predicted model, not a curated record